RNAcentral lists this ribosomal RNA (813 nucleotides) under uncultured bacterium. Its description in RNAcentral is "bacterial SSU rRNA". It matches the Rfam family "Bacterial small subunit ribosomal RNA", at positions 61 to 867 of the family's 1533-position model. The record is from RNAcentral.
GUCGACGGCAGCACGGGAGCUUGCUCCUGGUGGCGAGUGGCGAACGGGUGAGUAAUGCGUCGGAACGUACCGAGUAAUGGGGGAUAACGCAGCGAAAGCUGUGCUAAUACCGCAUACGCCCUGAGGGGGAAAGUGGGGGAUCGCAAGACCUCACGUUAUUCGAGCGGCCGACGUCUGAUUAGCUAGUUGGUGGGGUAAUGGCCUACCAAGGCGACGAUCAGUAGCGGGUCUGAGAGGAUGAUCCGCCACACUGGGACUGAGACACGGCCCAGACUCCUACGGGAGGCAGCAGUGGGGAAUUUUGGACAAUGGGGGCAACCCUGAUCCAGCCAUUCCGCGUGAGUGAAGAAGGCCUUCGGGUUGUAAAGCUCUUUCAGCUGGAACGAAACGGUACAGGUUAAUACCCUGUGCUAAUGACGGUACCGGCAGAAGAAGCACCGGCUAACUACGUGCCAGCAGCCGCGGUAAUACGUAGGGUGCGAGCGUUAAUCGGAAUUACUGGGCGUAAAGCGUGCGCAGGCGGAUUGUUAAGCAAGAUGUGAAAUCCCCGGGCUUAACCUGGGAAUGGCAUUUUGAACUGGCAGUCUAGAGUGCGUCAGAGGGGGGUGGAAUUCCACGUGUAGCAGUGAAAUGCGUAGAGAUGUGGAGGAACACCAAUGGCGAAGGCAGCCCCCUGGGAUGACACUGACGCUCAUGUACGAAAGCGUGGGUAGCAAACAGGAUUAGAUACCCUGGUAGUCCACGCCCUAAACGAUGUCAACUGGUUGUUGGGGGAGUGAAAUCCCUUAGUAACGAAGCUAACGCGUGAAGUUG